Molecule: small nuclear RNA, 65 nt
Filed under: Xenopus tropicalis (tropical clawed frog)
Lineage: Eukaryota; Metazoa; Chordata; Amphibia; Anura; Pipidae
Description: Xenopus (Silurana) tropicalis (western clawed frog) U4 spliceosomal RNA
Rfam family: U4 spliceosomal RNA
About the family: U4 small nuclear RNA (U4 snRNA) is a component of the major U2-dependent spliceosome. The structure of U4 snRNA from yeast and human has been reported. U4 snRNA presents a k-turn RNA motif in the 5p-SL related to recognition of Snu13 protein.
Source: Rfam by way of RNAcentral
AGCUUUGUGCAGUGGCAGUAUCAUAGCCAAUGAGGGCAAACCGAGGCGUGAAUAUUGCUAAUUGU